CUUAAAUUCUCUCAACGGGAUUUUGGCUUCUUCUUUUGUAGUUGCAAGUGGCACAAAAGCCACUUUAAGUUGUUUUAACAGGAAAAAUGCUUUCGAUUGAUUUCUCAGCUGACAUUUAUGUGCAUUAUGAUGUGAUUCUUAUCUCAGUGUCACAACGUGCUUCUACAUUCUUUUGCAAUUUCUCAAGCUCUCACCUCAAGAGUCUUCACAAGAUCCCAUCUACCAUGUUCUGCUGCAGCAUUCUAGCAAAGGAGGUGAAGUCCAAAUGUCUGAGGAUUACACAUGCAGAUCUAUACCAGGUGAAAAGACUGUGUAAAGGAUUGGUUCUUCUGUCUUACAUAUCACGAGUUGGCUCCCCAAAUAGGCGGACAAAAUCAUUGUUGAUAUAACAAGCUUAGUUUGAAAAAGACUUACUAUUUUUGCCAUGUAACUUUGAUGUUUUCUGCCCUCCAGCAUGCAACAUCUUCAAAACUAAUAUGCAUGCACGUAGUGAAGCCCUUAAUUGGCAUAACCCACAAAUUCUCUAUUUUCAGAUGCUUUAGGAGCAAAUCUUUAUCUAUCUUAUUUUUAGUUCUCUGGGAAUUUAGUUCUCAGUUGCUUAUAGGAAAUCUCCUCUGUCUAGUUCAACUGGUAUUUUUCUUGGUUGUGGCCUGUUAGUUUUGAAAUGUAUGUCCAUCUAAUCUGAAUAUCAAUUAGUAAGUUUCCAGAGGAAUGAUUUGAAUGAGAUAAGAAGCGCAGUGGAAAAAGAGGUAUCGGAGCUAACUGACAUUCAAAUGUUGUACAUCCCAUCUAAAUGUCAGUAAGUUUUCAGAUUAAGAACUGCACAAGCAAAAUGGGCACGGUGCCUAUUUCGCAUGAGUCAGCUGUUGUGAACUCACUACAAAGAAUGACUUGAGAGAGAAGUGCUGGGAUUUGAACUCUUGAUCUGUCAUAUGAAACAGUGCUAGAAUAUCCAGCCUAAAAGUUUAAGCUGUGAUGUGGACAGAGACAACAUGUAUAUAAGAAAACUGAGCCAUUAGGUGAGAGAGACUAUAUGUGUAUGAGACUCAUUAUGACCAUGUUUUCAGGGGAUGUUUGAUUAUAUUAAAAACAAUAUUACUACU
Eucalyptus grandis is the source of this 1103-nucleotide long non-coding RNA. RefSeq lists it as uncharacterized. Lineage: Eukaryota; Viridiplantae; Streptophyta; Magnoliopsida; Myrtales; Myrtaceae. The record is from RefSeq and is a predicted model, not a curated record. The transcript is spliced from 2 exons.